UGAGGGCCUUGGACUAAGUGA
This 21-nucleotide microRNA is filed under the name Monodelphis domestica (gray short-tailed opossum). Its description in RNAcentral is "mdo-miR-12385-3p". The record is from miRBase by way of RNAcentral. Lineage: Eukaryota; Metazoa; Chordata; Mammalia; Didelphimorphia; Didelphidae.